UGACCGAUCCUUUUCACUCUGAAUGAUUUU
Molecule: non-coding RNA, 30 nt
Filed under: Homo sapiens (human)
Lineage: Eukaryota; Metazoa; Chordata; Mammalia; Primates; Hominidae
Source: RNAcentral